UUAAGUUCAGCGGGUAUUCCUACUUGAUCCGAGGUCAACCUUGUGCCGCCUAGGCGGGCUUGUGGGGGGUUUAGAGGCUGGUGCCCGAGGGCUCCCGAUGCGAGGCGAAUGCUACUACGCAAGGGAAGGGCCGCUACGGGUCCGCCACUGGUUUCAGGGCCUACUACAGGGCGUAGGUCCCCAACACCGGGCCACUAGGG
This 200-nucleotide unclassified non-coding RNA is filed under the name Hypocreales sp. RNAcentral describes it as "partial internal transcribed spacer 2". The record is from RNAcentral. Lineage: Eukaryota; Fungi; Ascomycota; Sordariomycetes; Hypocreales.